UACGUAGGGACCGAGCGUUGUCCGGAAUCAUUGGGCGUAAAGAGCGUGUAGGCGGCCUUUUAAGUCCUGCGUGAAAUCCUGCGGCUCAACCGCAGACGGUCGUGGGAAACUGGAAGGCUAGAGUGCGGGAGAGGAGAGUGGAAUUCCCGGUGUAGCGGUGAAAUGCGCAGAUAUCGGGAAGAACACCCGUGGCGAAAGCGGCGCACUGGACCACAACUGACGCUGAUGCGCGAAAGCUAGGGGAGCAAACAGG
Molecule: ribosomal RNA, 253 nt
Filed under: uncultured bacterium
Lineage: Bacteria
Description: partial 16S ribosomal RNA
Rfam family: Bacterial small subunit ribosomal RNA
Source: RNAcentral